This 443-nucleotide ribosomal RNA is filed under the name uncultured bacterium. Its description in RNAcentral is "partial 16S ribosomal RNA". It matches the Rfam family "Bacterial small subunit ribosomal RNA", at positions 338 to 795 of the family's 1533-position model. The record is from RNAcentral.
CCUACGGGAGGCAGCAGUGGGGAAUAUUGGGCAAUGGGCGCAAGCCUGACCCAGCAACGCCGCAUGAAGGAAGAAGGCUUUCGGGUUGUAAACUUCUUUUCUCAGGGACGAAGAAAGUGACGGUACCUCCGGAAUAAGCCACGGCUAACUACGUGCCAGCAGCCGCGGUAAUACGUAGGUGGCAAGCGUUAUCCGGAUUUAUUGGGUGUAAAGGGCGUGUAGGCGGGACAGCAAGUCAGAUGUGAAAACUCAGGGCUCAACCCUGGGCCUGCAUUUGAAACUGUUUUUCUUGAGUGCUGGAGAGGCAGACGGAAUUCCUGGUGUAGCGGUGAAAUGCGUAGAUAUUAGGAGGAACACCAGUGGCGAAGGCGGAUUGCUGGACAGCAACUGACGCUGAGGCGCGAAAGCGUGGGGAGCAAACAGGAUUAGAUACCCCUGUAGUC